AACGAACGCUGGCGGCAUGCCUAACACAUGCAAGUCGAACGAAGGCUUCGGCCUUAGUGGCGCACGGGUGCGUAACGCGUGGGAAUCUGCCCUUUGGUUCGGAAUAACAGCUGGAAACGGCUGCUAAUACCGGAUGAUGACGAAAGUCCAAAGAUUUAUCGCCAGAGGAUGAGCCCGCGUUGGAUUAGGUAGUUGGUGGGGUAAAGGCCUACCAAGCCGACGAUCCAUAGCUGGUCUGAGAGGAUGAUCAGCCACACUGGACUGAGACACGGCCCAGACUCCUACGGGAGGCAGCAGUGGGGAAUAUUGGACAAUGGGCGCAAGCCUGAUCCAGCAAUGCCGCGUGAGUGAUGAAGGCCCUAGGGUUGUAAAGCUCUUUUACCCGGGAAGAUAAUGACUGUACCGGGAGAAUAAGCCCCGGCUAACUCCGUG
This 432-nucleotide ribosomal RNA is filed under the name uncultured bacterium. RNAcentral describes it as "partial 16S ribosomal RNA". It matches the Rfam family "Bacterial small subunit ribosomal RNA", at positions 29 to 507 of the family's 1533-position model. The record is from RNAcentral.